GAUGAACGCUGGCGGCGUGCCUAAUACAUGCAAGUCGAGCGAACGGACGAGAAGCUUGCUUCUCUGAUGUUAGCGGCGGACGGGUGAGUAACACGUGGAUAACCUACCUAUAAGACUGGGAUAACUUCGGGAAACCGGAGCUAAUACCGGAUAAUAUUUUGAACCGCAUGGUUCAAAAGUGAAAGACGGUCUUGCUGUCACUUAUAGAUGGAUCCGCGCUGCAUUAGCUAGUUGGUAAGGUAACGGCUUACCAAGGCAACGAUGCAUAGCCGACCUGAGAGGGUGAUCGGCCACACUGGAACUGAGACACGGUCCAGACGACUACGGGAGGCAGCAGUAGGGAAUCUUCCGCAAUGGGCGAAAGCCUGACGGAGCAACGCCGCGUGAGUGAUGAAGGUCUUCGGAUCGUAAAACUCUGUUAUUAGGGAAGAACAUAUGUGUAAGUAACUGUGCACAUCUUGACGGUACCUAAUCAGAAAGCCACGGCUAACUACGUG
Molecule: ribosomal RNA, 497 nt
Filed under: uncultured bacterium
Lineage: Bacteria
Description: partial 16S ribosomal RNA
Rfam family: Bacterial small subunit ribosomal RNA
Source: RNAcentral